CUAGAAUGUAUCACACAGCUGAUAAAAAUCUAAAAACAGGGUGCCUUAUAGAACCUAAAGUUCUCCAUUGCCUGGGCUGGCUGGUUAGUGAUUUCCCAAAGUGUGACUAUCUCUGCUUCUCAACACUGGAUUACAGUAAAAAUCCACACCAAGGUCCUGGCCAAUCAUCACAGUGGUCCUACAUUUCCUAGCCUCCAGCACUGUAAGUCAAACAUGUCUCUUUUUCAUUCCCUAAUUGAUUGACUGAUUGCUUUUCAGAUAAGGGAUCACGUAGUGCAGGCUG
This is a long non-coding RNA of Mus musculus (house mouse), 283 nucleotides long. RefSeq annotates it as predicted gene, 53534. Lineage: Eukaryota; Metazoa; Chordata; Mammalia; Rodentia; Muridae. The transcript has 3 exons. The record is from RefSeq and is a predicted model, not a curated record.